AAGUGAAAGAAUUCAAACAAUCCCAAAAUUCAGCAUCCGUUGGAAAACUUCAAAAUUCAAAUGCAUAACCCAAAAGGUUUGGUUGUGGAGAAAUGCAGAAAAAAGUUAAAUCUUUUGAAAUCGGCAAGGUUCAAAUACCGAAAUUCAUACCCAGAUGCUCCAUUUGGUCACGGACAAAUGCAGAAAGAUGAAAUUAAAAUUUGGCUGAGUUCAGAACUCAAAUUAUUUUUUCCUACAUAAAACAUAAGAUUCAACAUGCUAAUUCUGUUUAUAUUCCUAGAUUUUCUCAGCACCCAAAGCAUAAUUUCAGAGUGGAACAACACAAAACAAAAACCCAUAAACCCGUAAACCCUUUAAAAUAACCACUAUAACACACACCAUCUUCCUAUCACAACAUAAAAGAACAUAAGCUCGAAACCCGUAGUCCCAAUCCUGGUCCACUGCUUCCUCAUCAACCAAAUAAAUGUACUACUAAAACACUCUCUCCCCGAAAACGACACAACACAUGAGAUACGAACACUCUUUUCUCUCCGCCCACUUCCUCAUCAACCAAACAGAG
Molecule: long non-coding RNA, 559 nt
Filed under: Vitis vinifera (wine grape)
Lineage: Eukaryota; Viridiplantae; Streptophyta; Magnoliopsida; Vitales; Vitaceae
Description: long non-coding RNA (VVIN_LNC002114)
Source: RNAcentral